Molecule: transfer RNA, 73 nt
Filed under: Ictidomys tridecemlineatus (thirteen-lined ground squirrel)
Lineage: Eukaryota; Metazoa; Chordata; Mammalia; Rodentia; Sciuridae
Description: Spermophilus tridecemlineatus (thirteen-lined ground squirrel) tRNA
Rfam family: tRNA
About the family: Transfer RNA (tRNA) molecules are approximately 80 nucleotides in length. Their secondary structure includes four short double-helical elements and three loops (D, anti-codon, and T loops). Further hydrogen bonds mediate the characteristic L-shaped molecular structure. tRNAs have two regions of fundamental functional importance: the anti-codon, which is responsible for specific mRNA codon recognition, and the 3' end, to which the tRNAs corresponding amino acid is attached (by aminoacyl-tRNA synthetases). tRNAs cope with the degeneracy of the genetic code in two manners: having more than one tRNA (with a specific anti-codon) for a particular amino acid; and 'wobble' base-pairing, i.e. permitting non-standard base-pairing at the 3rd anti-codon position.
Source: Rfam by way of RNAcentral
GGGGAUAUAGCUCAGUUGGUAUAGUACUUGCCUCACAGACACAAUGUUCUGGGUUCAAUUCCCUGUACCACCA